GAUGAAGAACGCAGCGAAAUGCGAUACGUAAUGUGAAUUGCAGAAUUCAGUGAAUCAUCGAGUCUUUGAACGCACAUUGCGCCCCCUGGUAUUCCGGGGGGCAUGCCUGUCCGAGCGUCAUUGCUGCCCUCAAGCACGGCUUGUGUGUUGGGCCUCCGUCCUCCUCCCGGGGGACGGGCCCGAAAGGCAGCGGCGGCACCGCGUCCGGUCCUCGAGCGUAUGGGGCUUCGUCACCCGCUCUUGUAGGCCCGGCCGGCGCUUGCCGACACAUCAAUCUUUUUUCCAGGUUGACCUCGGAUCAGGUAGGGAUACCCGCUGAGCUUAAGCAUAUCAUUAAGCGGAGGA
Molecule: unclassified non-coding RNA, 345 nt
Filed under: soil metagenome
Description: partial contains 5.8S ribosomal RNA, internal transcribed spacer 2, and large subunit ribosomal RNA
Rfam family: 5.8S ribosomal RNA (bases 1-120)
Source: RNAcentral